CGUGUAGGCGGUUGGUCAAGUCUGGUGUGAAAGCCCGGGGCUUAGCCCCGGAAGUGCGCUGGAAACUAGCCAACUUGAGCGCGAUAGAGGAGGGUGGAGUUCCUGGUGUAGCGGUGAAAUGCGUAGAUAUCAGGAGGAACACCGGCGGCGAAGGCGGCCCUCUGGAUCGUUGCUGACGCUGAGACGCGAAAGCGUGGGGAGCAAACAGGAUUAGAUACCCUGGUAGUCCACGCUGUAAACUAUGGGUACUAGGUGUUCGGGGUGUUGACCCCCUGAGUGCCGACGCUAACGCAUUAAGUACCCCGCCUGGGGACUACGGCCGCAAGGCUAAA
RNAcentral lists this ribosomal RNA (332 nucleotides) under uncultured bacterium. Its description in RNAcentral is "bacterial SSU rRNA". It matches the Rfam family "Bacterial small subunit ribosomal RNA", at positions 568 to 898 of the family's 1533-position model. The record is from RNAcentral.